RNAcentral lists this transfer RNA (73 nucleotides) under Marmota monax (woodchuck). Its description in RNAcentral is "tRNA.Ala". Lineage: Eukaryota; Metazoa; Chordata; Mammalia; Rodentia; Sciuridae. The record is from RNAcentral.
UGGAGAUGUAGCUCAGUGGUUGAGCACUUGCCUAGCAUGCACAAGGCUUGGGUUUGAUUCCCUAGCACUGCAA